Molecule: small RNA, 30 nt
Filed under: Bombyx mori (domestic silkworm)
Lineage: Eukaryota; Metazoa; Arthropoda; Insecta; Lepidoptera; Bombycidae
Description: ovarian small RNA-17050
Source: RNAcentral
GCUAAAAGGAAGGCCGACCAUCGGGCCGGG